AUACUGCCCAGGUGGCUUUGAGCAAGGAGGAAGAGACUAGCAUUGUUGAACACCUUCCAGGUACCAGUCGUUGUGUAAGAUGCCAUGCAUGCAAGUAAACUCUUUAAACCUCCUGACAACCCUGUAAGGUAGGUGUAAUGAUCUUCCUUUUACAGAUGAAGAAAUUGAAUCUCAGAGAGACUAUAUAGCUGAAUAGGAACAGAUUUGGUUCUUAAUGCUGCUAAUUGCAAAGCCUACUUUACUGUGUUGUCUCUGGAACUCAGUCAUCUUAUCCACCAAAAAGGACAUGAAUUAGGUGGUAGGCAUCCACAUUUUCCCAACAGAGAGUCGCACAAGAUCAAAAUCCAAUGACACGUAAGGGCACUUGGAUGGCUCAAACAUCUGACUCUUGACUUGGGCUCAGGUCAGGAUCUCAUGACUCAUGGGUUGGAGCCCUACAUCGGGCUCUGCAUUGACAGUGCAGAGACUGUUUGGUAUUCUCUCUCUCCCUCUCUCUGCCCCUUCCCCACUUGCUCACACACUCUCUCUAUCUCUCAAAAAUAAAUAAAACUAAGAAAAAUCCAAUGCCACAGAGAUCACAGCCUUUCCUUUUCUCUUUCUUUUUUUUUUUUUUUAGAAACAUUUUCUUUAAUAAAAAGUCCAUGUACUAUAUAGAAAGGUUGCAGGAUUAUUCACUGAGAUAGCAAUGAGUUUAAAUGUGUCUCCCUCCUCCCCUCUCUUCCCACUGCCAAUUUUAAGCAGAGCUUAGGGCUGUGCUCCUUCGACUCACAGGAUAAUUGUGGCCGAAUGAAAAGCAGAAGCCACUUGAAAUAACAGAGAAUUUUCCUCGUUUUUGGGAAAGCCUCACCUCCUUGAUGUCAUUAGGAUAAGCGCAGCAGGGGUAGAGGCAAGAGGAAGCAGUGCCUGUGAAGUCAACAGAGGGAGGUGGAAAGAUUUCAACAGAGAAGGAAAAGAAUGGAGUUCUCUGUGCAGGAUUCUGAGCACGGUGCCAGGGCAGGGCCCCAAAGAAAUGGUAGUUCUGUACAGGGGUCUGGUUGUUUUCUGGCUCCACUGAGGCUGGGUCUCAAGCACAGGCUUCCGAGCCUCCAUGUGGCUUAAAGCACAGGGUACAUGGGCUUCAAGCUUGAGGAUGAGCUGACCACGAUGAACUAGAGAUGAAGCCUUCCUCCACUUUGUCGGCAUCACAUACACUUCCUGGAUUCUUCUGCAGCCUUAAUGACUAAGGCUGAGCUUCUCACCUGUCUGACAGUAUAGGAGCUGAAAGCAGAUUUUAUAUGGAUUUAAAAUAAUAAACAAAUGGGAUAUUUCCUGCCAGCAGAGUUUAUAGACUGAAUCACACCUGCUCUACAGCACUGGUUGUGACUCAGACAUGAGUCAAGUGCGCAUGCAAACUUUAUUCAAACCCAUCUUCCUUUUGUUUCUAAUCCCUCAUAAGGCCUCUUUUUCAUGGUGUAAUUUUAAAGGAAUUAAAUUUGAGCUACUCAAAAUUCUGUAUUAAAUUAUACUCAGCAUCCACCAGAAUUGCUAACUGAUCCAAGUCUAUUUAACAAUAUGACUGCUAGUAGUCACUCAUGAAACAAUCAUGCAGGAAGGCUUUAGGAUGCACUAGAUUGUUAGUUUAUGCUUAUGUCUUUCUAUGCACAUUUCAACAUCUUGGUUGCUUCUGAGGAAGAGACAGAACAACCAGAUCAGGAAGGAACAUGUCACAGGCAUGUGGAUGGUUGUGGUCAAGUUGUUGUUGUUGUUGUUGUUGUUUUUAAAGUUUAUUUAUGUUGAGAGAGAGAGAGAGCAGGGGAGGAGCAGAGAGAGAGGGAUAGAGAGAGAGAGAGAAUCCCAAGCAGGCUCCACACUGUCAGCGCAGAGCCGGACGCGGGGCUCAAACCCAUGAACCGUGAGAUCACGACCUGAGCUGACGUCAAGAGUCAGACGCUUAACUGAAUGAGCCACCCAGGUACCCCCGUUGCGGUCAAGUUCCAAUGUCUAGCUCUCGGGCGGGAGGUAGGAGCACAGGCCUUUCCUUUACCAUACAAACUUCGUAACUUACACAUGAAUGACAAACACUCUUUGGAAUGUAUCAAAUAUACAUUAAAAUAUUUUUAAAAGCUGAAAACCUCUAGCAGGAUCCAGGUUAUAAACCUAACACAUCACCUGUGGCUGUCUUGGACUUUACUGAGAAAAUAAACACAGCGAUUAUAUUCCAGUUCACUAAAUCUACCAGCUGCUUGCGUCUGACCUUCACUUCCUUCCCUCUCUUUUGCCUCAGUGGGAAAAUUGUAGCGUCCCUUUGUAUCUGAAGCCUUUCCCCUCCAGCACACCAAGAUCUCUCCCCGUCUCAGUUUGCAACCAUGCUGUAGCACCUCUCCCCACCUAAAUCAACCACUAACAGCCUCCCGUGACCUCAGGUCCCCCUCAGCUAUUUCUCCUUCCCCUCCCCCGCAAAACUUCUUUCUAAAAACCUGUCCAUCCUCACAGCCUACAUUUUCUUAUCCUCCAGUUCCUUGUCAGCAUACUUGGCUCCAAAUCUCCACUCAAUCUACUCAUGCCAAGAUCAGACAUGUUCUCAUGCUGUCAAACCCACUCACGCCAUGAUAUUUAAAGCAUAAUCUCAGUCCUGGACUGUGCCAAAAGUGCAAAGAAAUACAUAGAUCCUAAAUUGAACAGCAAUGAGAUUUCUGCUAAACUAAAAGCCUUGCACCGCUCUUGUUCGUGAAUGCAUACAAGUUUUCGUGUCUGAACGGUACUUGUGAUUUCAUUUAAGGUGACACUGAUAUUUAUGGCGAUAAAAAAAUUAAUAUUGAACUUAAAAAUGGCAAGAUCAUUGGCUGGCGGCUCCAUAGAUUAAGCGUCCGACUUCAGCUCAUGUCAUAAUCUCGCGGUUCGUGGGUUCGAGCCCCACAUCAAGCUCUGUGCUGACAGCCUGGAGCCUGGAGCCUGCUUCAGAUUCUGUGUCUACCUCUCACUCUGCCCCUCUCCCACUCACGCGCUCUCUCUCUUUCUCUCUCAAAAAUAAAUAAACAUUAAAAAUGUUUAUUAAACAUUAAACAUUAAAAAUGGGUUUUUUUUAAUUUAAAAAAUGGCAAGAUCAUCAUUUAAAACAAUAACAAACAAACAGGACCCCCUGACUCCUUGGCAAACUCACCAAGAGGAGAGAAUUUGUUUUUUGUGUGCAGGCUGCACCCAGAAACACUAGGUGAGUUUGCAUCUGGGCACGUUUUGUGCAUGAAUUAACAUCUUUCUGUUCCAAAAAAUUUGCUCCAAAAUGUAAUAUAUGUCAUUUUAGUUCCAGCUAUUUUCAAGAAUAAUGCUCAGAUCUUUUGAGUUUAAAAUUUUACUUGAUAUAUUUCAAAGAUCGUUUGUUCGACUCUGAGCCUAAUGUUUCUGAUUAGUUGAGUUUUAACUUACUUUCUUCAAGGAACAAGGGAUGGUAUCAAAGGGGAAGAAAGCACACAAUAAAUGGGUGCAGUUAAGUAAGUGCUUCAUAAUUUGAAAAAGGCUAAGAACAGAUCUAAGAAUAAAUGUUUAUAUUUUGAUGGUAAAGAAGCCAGUUCCAAAAAUUAUGCUUAAAUAUUAUAUAAAUGGAUACAACCAUACAAAAAUAUAGAAUGUCAAGAGUAUUCCUCACAUACAUUUUUAAUAGCAAAAUUAGCCACACUUAACAUACUCAUACUAAUGGCUUUUGCCAAAUUGGGGAAGCAAAAUACUAAAAACAAAACACUAAAUAUAAAGGCCUGAUUUCUAAUCUAAAAAUAAGAGGGUCAACCUAUUUAUCUCAAAGGUAACUUCUAACUGAAGCUGUCUACUAUUGUAAAUCAAUAUUUUGGAAUUCAACUAAUCUUUCUUAACUAUUAUUCUGAUAUUUAAUAACGCUUGGUCAGUCUAAAGGAUAAAGAAAUAUUUUAAAGAUCCAUUUAUAGUUAAAGUGUUCUGUCUUUAAUCAUGCAAGACUAUGUUCAUAAAAAAAAAUGUCCCAGGGGUUCCUGGUUGGCUCAGUCAGUGACGCAUGUGACUCCUGAUCUCAGGGUUAUGAGUUCAAGCCCCACAUUGGGUGUAGAGAUUAGUUAAAAAUAAAACCUUUAAGAAAAAAAAUGUUCCAAAUGUUGAGUCACAUUGUAUUUAUUAAGUCAUCCCACAUCUCGUGUGCACCAUAAUAUUUUAGCCAUUCACUCAUUCAUUCAUUCAUUCAUUUAAAUAUCUAUUGAGCAUAUGUGCUAUAUAUCCAGCACUUAAAAGACACUAAUAAAAGGGAAACAGAAUGCAGUUUCUUCCUUUUUGCCUUAUACUCUGGUUGGGAGCAAACUAUGACAUGGUGUUUACCACGUGACCUAUCAGUCUGAGCACUUCUUAAGUGGACUCAUGUUAAGUACUGCAGUAACCCUAAGAGGUUAAUACUAUUGUCAUUCCAUGUUACAGAUAAAGAAGACGAAACACAGAGAGAUUAAGUAAUUUGUCCUACAUCACACGGCAAGUAAGUGAUGGUCCAAGAAAGAAGAACACGGAAAUUUUACAACGCAAAAUGUUAGUGUGUCUUUGUACACUGUUGGGGCAAAUACAAAUGAAAAGAAUGGCAGAAGAUAGUCAUGUGAAGUGUCUUGUCAGGGAUUGGUCUCCCCCCAAUAGCAUCUCAAAAGGAAACAGGGACUGAGGAUUGGUGAGAAGUGAGGCCGGGGGACAGAAAGCCCUUGAAGCUUGCGAGGUACAGCUAGGGAGUCUCGCUUUUGGAAGGGCUGGGAGAGAAGUAUCCAUUGUCCUACUCCAACACCUUUCUAUGUUUUAGAUACCUCUAACAUCCACCUAUCAGAAGAAUAAUUUAAGAACAUAGCCG
This 4822-nucleotide long non-coding RNA is filed under the name Lynx pardinus (Iberian lynx). The record is from RNAcentral. Lineage: Eukaryota; Metazoa; Chordata; Mammalia; Carnivora; Felidae.